GAUGAAGAACGCAGCGAAAUGCGAUACGUAAUGUGAAUUGCAGAAUUCAGUGAAUCAUCGAAUCUUUGAACGCACAUUGCACUCUCUGGUAUUCCGGAGAGUAUGCUUGUUUGAGUAUCUGUAAACAUCUCAAAUCUCUCUUCGCUUGCGUCGAGAGAAUUGGAUUUGAGCGAUCCCGACUCCUUCGUCAGAAAGAGGAGGGUCGCUUGAAAUGCAGGUGCAGCUGGACAUUCUUCUGAGCUAAAAGCAUAUCUAUUUAGCCCCGUCAAACGGAUUAUUACUUUUGCUUCAGCUAAUAUAAAGGUCGAAUGAACUACCAACGCUGAUUGCAGGAAAACUCGUUUGUAACAGAACUUGUAAACUCGAUCUCAAAUCAAGUAAGACUACCCGCUGAACUUAAGCAUAUCAAUAAGCGGAGGA
This 420-nucleotide unclassified non-coding RNA is filed under the name soil metagenome. RNAcentral's name for it is "partial contains 5.8S ribosomal RNA, internal transcribed spacer 2, and large subunit ribosomal RNA". The stretch from base 1 to 120 matches the Rfam family "5.8S ribosomal RNA", at positions 35 to 154 of the family's 154-position model. The record is from RNAcentral.